CCUAACCGUGCGAAGGUAGCGUAAUCACUUGUUCUUUAAAUGAGGACUAGUAUGAACGGCCCCACGAGGGCUGCACUGUCUCCUUUUUCUAAUCAAUGAAACUAAUCUCCCCGUGAAGAAGCGGGGAUAAUUCUAUAAGACGAGAAGACCCUAUGGAGCUUUAAACAACUGAAACACUUGCUUUUCCAUUAACCUCUUCCGAGUUCUUUACUUCACUCAAGCAUUUUUAUUUCUAGUUUUAGGUUGGGGUGACCACGGAGCAAAACUAAACCUCCACGAAGAAAUGAAUACUUUUUAAGCCACAAACUACUUUUUUAAGCAUCAACAAAUUGACCUUCAUUGACCCAAUAUAUUGAUCAACGAACCAAGUUACCCUAGGGAUAACAGCGCAAUCUACUUCAAGAGCUCGUAUCGACAAGUAGGUUUACGACCUCGAUGUUGGAUCAGGGU
Molecule: ribosomal RNA, 450 nt
Filed under: Ameerega yoshina
Lineage: Eukaryota; Metazoa; Chordata; Amphibia; Anura; Dendrobatidae
Description: partial 16S ribosomal RNA
Rfam family: Bacterial large subunit ribosomal RNA
Source: RNAcentral